GUUUGAUGUUGACCAUGAUAAAGAAAGAUCACAAGCACAAGGUCUUGUAAAGUGGAUUUAAUUGUGAUGGAGCUGAUGCUGCUGGCAUUGAUUUUUCUCUAAAUAGGUGAGCAGAAACUGGCUUUAAUUAUUGGUGUGGAUAAAUAUUUAUCUUCUUUCUUAAUUAGCGGUUUCCAAUUUCAUCCUCGUAUUAGUUCCCUGCUCCCCUUUAACUAGAGUUUGAAUAUGAGAUAUUGAGAAAGUGUGCCUUCAGUGCAAGCAAUUUAUUAUUCUUUUUGACAAAGUUCUAUUCUUGGAUCCUUCUUUCUCUUUAAUGCAUCCACAAGGGAGAAAACAAGCAUAUUCAUGGUUGUAUUUGAUUUUAUAGGGUAAUAUCUAUUUUCGAAUGAAAUUUUGAGGGCAAUUUCUGCUUGGUAUGAUGGUCGUGAGUGGUUUAACUUGUUAUGUAAAACUGUGAUGGACCAAGACUGGUCUUGGAAUAAGCCU
RNAcentral lists this unclassified non-coding RNA (486 nucleotides) under Hevea brasiliensis (rubber tree). Lineage: Eukaryota; Viridiplantae; Streptophyta; Magnoliopsida; Malpighiales; Euphorbiaceae. The record is from RNAcentral.